This 104-nucleotide small RNA is filed under the name marine eukaryotic metagenome. RNAcentral describes it as "t44 RNA". It matches the Rfam family "t44 RNA". Rfam says of the family: This family consists of a number of bacterial RNA genes of between 135 and 170 bases in length. The t44 gene is found between the map and rpsB genes in all species in the full alignment apart from Shigella flexneri. The record is from RNAcentral.
AAAUUAAAUCCACACACGUUUCGACACGUUAUUCUGGGUGCUGGCUGGUGCUUUUUUGAAAGAGCUAAGGUUUGGUUGAGUAAUGGGAUUCGUGGAGGUCUAAC